This 69-nucleotide transfer RNA is filed under the name Tetrataenia surinama. RNAcentral describes it as "tRNA-Tyr". It matches the Rfam family "tRNA". From Rfam's summary of the family: Transfer RNA (tRNA) molecules are approximately 80 nucleotides in length. Their secondary structure includes four short double-helical elements and three loops (D, anti-codon, and T loops). Lineage: Eukaryota; Metazoa; Arthropoda; Insecta; Orthoptera; Acrididae. The record is from RNAcentral.
GGUGAGAUGGCUGAAAUUUAAGGUAAUAGACUGUAAAUCUAUUUAUGGGUUAAAAAUUCCCUCUCACUA